GAUUCUCAUCCUAAACACAAUGGAGUUUUUUCUCUAUGAACUACUUCCCUGGAAAGCUCGUCUUUCCAGUCGUCAUUUCUCUCUCAAACCUUUGGGUUUGGUAGUGAGUGAUACUCGUUUCCGGGUUUACUUGAAAGUGGCUAGCCGUUGCCUUCUGCGUGAGCAGGGCUGCGUGUCAAGUCUAUGGACUCGACUCUUGCACAUCUACGUCUUUGGUUUGCGCCAAUUCGUGGUAAGCUUGGGUCAAAGAGCUUUUAGGUGUUUUAAAGACUCGCUGGUGUUUGUCUCCUUGAGGCAUACGGCUUUACCAAAACUCUCAAAGUUUGACCUCAAAUCAGGUAGGAAUACCCGUAACAAGGUUUCCGUAGGUGAACCUGCGGAAGGAUCAUUUAAGAUUUUGAAUGAGUAGAUUUCUGGGGGAAUUGCUGAACAAGGCCUGCGCUUUAUUGCGCGGCCAGUUCAUGAUUCUCUGCUAUCAGUUUUCUUUUCUCCGCUGAACUUAA
This 503-nucleotide ribosomal RNA is filed under the name Kluyveromyces dobzhanskii. RNAcentral's name for it is "eukaryotic LSU rRNA". The record is from RNAcentral. Lineage: Eukaryota; Fungi; Ascomycota; Saccharomycetes; Saccharomycetales; Saccharomycetaceae.